This 497-nucleotide ribosomal RNA is filed under the name uncultured bacterium. Its description in RNAcentral is "partial 16S ribosomal RNA". It matches the Rfam family "Bacterial small subunit ribosomal RNA", at positions 28 to 507 of the family's 1533-position model. The record is from RNAcentral.
GAUGAACGCUGGCGGCGUGCCUAAUACAUGCAAGUCGAGCGAACAGACGAGGAGCUUGCUCCUCUGACGUUAGCGGCGGACGGGUGAGUAACACGUGGAUAACCUACCUAUAAGACUGGGAUAACUUCGGGAAACCGGAGCUAAUACCGGAUAAUAUAUUGAACCGCAUGGUUCAAUAGUGAAAGACGGUUUUGCUGUCACUUAUAGAUGGAUCCGCGCCGCAUUAGCUAGUUGGUAAGGUAACGGCUUAUCAAGGCAACGAUGCGUAGCCGACCUGAGAGGGUGAUCGGCCACACUGGAACUGAGACACGGUCCAGACUCCUACGGGAGGCAGCAGUAGGGAAUCUUCCGCAAUGGGCGAAAGCCUGACGGAGCAAUGCCGCGUGAGUGAUGAAGGUCUUCGGAUCGUAAAACUCUGUUAUUAGGGAAGAACAAAUGUGUAAGUAACUAUGCACGUCUUGACGGUACCUAAUCAGAAAGCCACGGCUAACUACGUG